RNAcentral lists this ribosomal RNA (253 nucleotides) under uncultured bacterium. RNAcentral's name for it is "partial 16S ribosomal RNA". It matches the Rfam family "Bacterial small subunit ribosomal RNA", at positions 524 to 776 of the family's 1533-position model. The record is from RNAcentral.
UACAGAGGUCCCGAGCGUUGUUCGGAUUCACUGGGCGUAAAGGGUGCGUAGGUGGCUUGAAAAGUUUGAUGUGAAAGCUCAGGGCUUAACCCUGAAAUGGCAUUGAAUACUGUCGAGCUGGAGGUUUGGAGGGGGGACUGGAAUUCUUGGUGUAGCAGUGAAAUGCGUAGAUAUCAAGAGGAACACCAGUGGCGAAGGCGAGUCCCUAGACAACACCUGACACUGAGGCACGAAAGCUAGGGGAGCAAACAGG